UGCUAUCUCUCUCUACUUCCCCUGCUACCUUUCUUCUCUGAACCUACCUACUGCUUCUCUCUCUCUCUCUGAAAUUGUUGUAGUACUAAGAUUUGUAAGACAGUGUACUACAACCUGUUAAUUGUUCAGUUCAGAUUUUUGCUUGUUUAGUAUUAUUCUGUUGAUCUGUCCUAAUCUUGUGGCUAGUAUAAUUUCGUUUCUGUUGUUACUUGUGUAACCUGAACCGAGGUUAGUAUCCUAUUUGCAUAUGUGUGUUUUGUGUGUUCUGUAGUCCCUGUAUUAGUUACGUACCUGUGAUAUAUAAAUGUGUGUGUGCGUGUGUGUGUGUGUGUGUGUGUGUAAUUCAUCAAAAUAUAUUGUUGUGUGAUGAUGAUAUAUGUUCAGUCUAGAGACACGUUGUUUUUCUUGCUUUGUAGAUCGAUGUGAACUAGUACUCUUGUGUGUUUCUGUUGUCACUAGUUAAAUUGAUCACCUAUGUACUACUUGUUGUAGAAACUUGUUACAUUAGUCCUUGUGCUAGCUAUGCACCUGUGAUAAAUAUGUGUGUGAUGUGAAACAUUUCUGUUCUGUCCUAUAAUAUUGUUUCCUCCCUCUUUUGCUUGUCAUUAUGCUAUAUGUGUUCAUGUCCUAAUGUUUCCCUUUAUGUUAGUUUCUAAUUUCUCAUGCCUAAUAAAAAUACCAAAAGAGAGCAAGUAAGAUCUGAUCCUCCCUUUGCUAUUUUGCCUUUUCUUUGUGGAUCAUCUUCGGGAGCAACCUUGUUUAGUUUAGGUUUAUUUUCUUGCAGCCAUAAUCUCAAUUGUGUUACCUAGAUUUAGCUGAGCAUAGUCGCCGUCGCCUAGUCCCUGAGGGGAACACGACACUCGCGAUUUGGGCGAAAUAUCCCACCGCAUUUACAAACGAUCAUUUUGGCGCCGUUGCCGGGGACUAGCAUCGAGUGACAGUGUUAGGCUAUAGACUAGGUUUUUCUUGUUUUCAUUUUGUGCCAUAUAUUUGUGAUAUAUCUCUAGCCACUAACCCCUGUUCUAGGUAGUAUCUUUUUGUCUUCUUUUCCUUUUUUGCAGGUUGGAUUAUCCUCUCGGAAAUGGCAUUCUAUUCGGAUCAUCAGGCUUAUGCGAGCAACACUACAAACAACAUGAAAAGAAUUCAAGAACUGAUAAGUAAGAUUUCCCAUCGAUUAGAUGAUUUAGCUCGGCAGCGAGAAGUAGUUUUUGUGGAUAGUCCUAGCUCUUAUGAUCCUUAUUCUGGAGGCCAUCCUUAUGUUGCUCCUACUUGCCAUAUUUGUGGAUUUCAGGGCCAUUCGCUCGCUGAAUGUCAGCGUGGUUACUCUCGCCCUCCAGAUUGUUUUGGCAUGAGCUUUGCUCAAGAGCAUAGCUCAUACCAAAACAAUUACUCACAUGGGUGGCCUGAGAACCCGAAUAUGUCAUUUAGGAGCAACAACCCUGAGAUCUUAUCAUUUGCCUCUAGUAAUCCAAUGCAGGGAUUUAGGUAUGAAGAGGAGAGCCACAACUAUGCUCCACAACAGUUUUAUUCACCUCCUACUCAUAUACCGCAGCACCAGGAGAUGUGUCCAAUGGAGUUAAAUGGUCCUCCGUUUGGUCAACCAACAACUUCAGCACCUAAUGAGUCGGUAGAGCAAUCUCAUGUGCAGGGAUUUAGGUAUGAAGAGGAGAGCCACAACUAUGCUCCACAACAGUUUUAUUCACCUCCUACUCAUAUACCGCAGCACCAGGAGAUGUGUCCAAUGGAGUUAAAUGGUCCUCCAUUUGGUCAACCAACAACUUCAGCACCUAAUGAGUCGGUAGAGCAAUCUCAUGUGCAAGUGCCCACACAAGAUGAGUUCGAUGACAUAGACAAACUCACACUUUUGAGUCUCGAGUUCACUUGGAGUGCCGAGGAUGAUCCUAUUAGGAAGGUUAUACUAGAGGAAAUGAAGAGGAUCAAGAGUGGAAAAGAGCUAGUGGAAGAAGUAAGGAAGAUUGAGAAGAGCAUCAAUGCUGGCAGCACUAUUUCUUCACAACUAGAGCUGAGUAUUUCUGGGAUAUCCUUUGAUACAUGUGAGGCUCCAACACCGUCACAUCCAGCUGAGCAAGAUAGAAAAAGUCCAGAGGAAGAGAGACCUUAGAUUGAAGUUGAACUCAAGGAACAAGAUGAUCAAGAGCUACAAUUUCCAAGUGAUCAAGUUGAAGACUCAUCAUCUACUACUCCUAAAGAAGUACAAGAAGCUGUUGUAGAUGAAGAUGAAGAACCUGAGAUUCAUUGGCCUAUUGUCAUACAUGAACCUGAUAUGUCAGGUUUACCCAAUCCUCUUGAUGACAUGCUGCCUUGUGAUUUCUUUGCUUCUAACUUGCAUUGCAUGAUGCCAUCACUUAAGGUAGAUUUGAAAAACUAUUUGCUUGGACAUGAUCAUACACACCCUGUUAGUGGCAUUGCUCAUAUCUCUGUUCAUGAUACUUAUGUUCCUGAUGCUAUACACAUGCUUAAUGAAACGUGUGAUUCUAAUACUAGCAUUGAGCUUACUGAAUUGUACCAUCCUAAACAUGUGCUUUAUAGCUAUGCUUAUGUAAUUGGGUACUCUAUUGAUGAUUUAGAGGGCAUUACCCUUGUCACUUGUAUCGCCUCCUUGGUUGAGUGCUCUUUCAGCUUGUUGCUUGUGCACGAUCCACUACAUGCUGGCCAAGUUCGAGAUGACAUUCCUUGGGACCCCGGUGGACCCAUGGCAUGGGGAUGAGGAGAAGCAAGGAGCACACAUGAAGAGAGAAGCUGUGCCGGCAUGAGGAUAGGGAAGCAAAAGGAGAGGAGUCACAAUGCAAGAGGAUGUGAGAUGAUCGAGCGAGUGCUACAUCAAAGCCCGGUGAGCUGUUUCAUGACCCAUUCCGAGUAUAUCAUCCAUUGAUGCUUGCUGAAUUAAAUUGCUAUUUGGGUUGCUUGUGCCAUUUCUUAAAUGUUGUCCCACAGAUUUUUCACCUUUGACAUAUGGUGCUUGAUGAGAAUAUGUGAACUGAUUGUUGAAUGCCUUGUAAACUAGUGAUCUACAUCCUGUUUGCUUUGCUGAAAGUAGUGAAAGCUAUUAGUUUUGAGUGCUCAAAUCCCUAGUGCACUAGUAAACUUAAUCAUUUUCUGCUUUUACCUUGAUACACCUAAAUCAUUAAGUGUCGGAUGCUGAGUUUGUGCCUAAUGUGUUCCCAUUGAGAGCAAUCACUUACCAUUAUGGAUUAGCAUGCUAUGUUCUCUGGAUCAGUAGCAUGUGAAGUAGACAUGGAUGAGUGAUGAUUCUUGAUUUUGUUCAUUUAAAAAAUGAAAAAUAUAUAUCUUAUAAUGAAUAAAUAAGUCUGACUACCUACAGUAGCAUGUCAUGUUCCCUAGAUCGGUGGCAUGUGGAAUCGGGUUAGCUUGGGCAGUAAUUAAUAAUAAAAAUGUAAUUGUCGAACCAGGUGUAUACCAUAUUCUUGGGAUCGGUGGUAUGUUCCUUUGGGGAGACAAACAAAAAAAACUAAUAAUUGGUCGAGCCGGGUGUAUACCAUGUUCUCGGGAUCGGUGGUAUGUUCCUUUGGUGAGAUCAAUAAAAUAUUAUCAUUACUUUCUUCAAAUUCAAUAAGUGCUUUCAACUGCAAUGUUGUGUUCCUGGUAAUAAGUGAUCUGAUCUCAAGUUUAAGUUUUUUUUGUUUUUGGGAUCAGGCUCUCUUUAGGAACCUUUUGGCACAAUCAGCAUUUGAACUUACUAAUCUUCUUUUAUCAUUGUAAAAGUUUAAAAUGGCCAAGUCUACUAGUAUCCUACUGCUUUGUAGCACUCUAACCAUUAAUUUUCACUAACUAAGUCUGAAGCAUGCACUGUUUAGAGAUCUACUUCACUGGGACAUUCUCCAGUCAGCUCACUGUUCAUUAUCUAGCUCUUGUCAUAUUCCUUUACUUGAGGACAAGCAAAAGUUUAAGUGUGGGGGAACUUGAUAAGCACAUUUCUUAUAUAGAAUUUUGGAACACAAAUUCAUCAUUUAUUGAGAUAUAUUGUCGGUGACGGUUGCAGGGGCGCGGGGUUGCGAGAAGAGCAGGGCUAGUAGACAGCACAAAGAUCGUUUAUCCAGGUUCGGGCCGCGAGGAUGCGUAAAACCCUAGUCCUGGUUUGGUGGGUGUAUUUCAGAGAGUUCUUGAGCUCUCGGACUAGAUGUGGUCAGUGCAUGGUUCAAAAGAGCCGAAUCCUUCUCCAGUAUGUCAUGGGCCUCCUUUUAUAGUCGGAAGGGGCUGCCACAGUGGCACACAGGAGGUGGAAAGGCGUACAGUGCCCUGAGCUUAUCGCUCGUAUUACAGGUGAUAGAGGCGAGGGUGUCCCGAUCUUUCGAUGAGAUGAUAACUAUCGAUUAGGUGGAGUCGACUUUGACGAUCCGACUACAAACGUGCACGACGUUGCGCCUUAGCAAUCGCUAAACCAACUUCGAGAGGUUAUUGACCUCGCCGGAGCACGAUCAACCUGACCACGAAGGUCUAUUCCUGCAUGCAAUCAAAGAACAAGCAAGAAUAUGAUAAUGCAAUCUGAAUAUUGCGAAUAUAGAUGAAGUAUUGAUAAAGAUAGGGAUCCAUAAGCGGUCUUGGUCUGGUCGUUGGACACAAACGAAGUACACGAAGUUGCAAUGGCUAACUUUUAACUAAACAAAUCCCAAGCAAAAAGCUACUAGAUGGAUCUACUUAUAUAGGAGCAAGGGGUGGAGGCCAAAAAGGUGGGAGGACGUCCCAAGGCAGCCUAAAACCAACCCUAGGUCGUACAAGGCUCAUGGGCCCAAGUGGAGGUGAUGCAACACCUUUGGACUUGUUUUUGACUCGGAUUUUGCUGCAGCGUCAGAUUGUUUCGUCCAUAUCUCAAUGCUCCGGACGAAUUUAAAGGUGAAUCCAAUUGGGUUGGAAAGAGGACGAAAUUUACUUUCCAACAAAAAAAGAAUCACCCAAUUCGGAGUCCGUAUGAAAAAGUUGUUGGCGUUUUGAGUCAGGUAUGUCUGUGCAGUCCGAAUCUGAAUCCAGAACGUGAGAGACUUGGACUCUAUCUUCUCUUGGCCCAAAAGUGACGUGAGAGGACUUUUUGAAUAGAACCUAAACUUCUCCUUUUCCCCUAUCUUCAUAUGUGGAUUGUAUAAAUGUCCCAUACACCUGCAAUUAGACAAAACACAAAAGUGUGUGAAGUAUUUUUGUUCUGGAUAACAUAAAUAGAUUAUUGAAUAAUUUGCACUAGAAAUCACCUGACAAAUAUGCAUGUAUGCAAUAUUUUUGGUCGUAUCCAAGGUAGUCAUGUCCUCAUCAUCCUCCCCUUCUUGAAAAUAAAGCCGUCCUCGGCGUUGCUUAAUCUGAAAUGUGGCUAACAAAAGAGACAAGGUGUACAUGUUGUAUAUGUAUAUGUCAUCCAUUUUUACUUCCCGUGGAUUUUGCACAUAUGACACAUGUAUACAUGAGUAACUUUCAUAGUUAAUAAAAUAUAAAGCCAAAAUAUUAUUACAAGUAGAAGGCAUGAAAGUAUUGCAACUCAGUUUGCACAUAUAAGUGAAGCUCUUAUUCAUAUGAAAAGAUUGACAAUAUUCAUCAUUAAACCAUCCCAACAUUGGUGAAUAAACCUUACUUGCAUUAAAUUUACAUGCUACAACAUGCUUAAAUAAGCAAACAUGCAAUAAGUCAUUUGACACAGAAUCAUCACCAAGAUUAGAGGUCAUAUCAAAAUGAUUAAACAUUGGUUCUUUUGCAUCAACAAUUAAUUCAUUGGGUCCACUCAAAAUUGUUGGUAUUUCAGAUGUUUGAUCACAUGACGCAUUCAUGACAGUAACAUGAUUCUCUAGAUUAGGUGAUGCGCUCAAAUCAAUAGGUAACUCAACACAUGAUGUAUUCAAGUUAACUAGGCAUGCAUCAUUCUCAUGUGAAGUUAUAUCAUCAAUACCUUUACAGUUACCUUGUCGUAAAGAUGUAGCUGAUGUAGGUACGGAUGAUGGCAAUGUACCAUACUCUUGAGAUGAUGUCGCGCUCACAAUCUGAGGUGUGGCUGCUCUAGUAGGUGCGACGGUGGAGGAGCCAAGCGGUGGUGGUGAGCAUGAACUAGAAUAGUAGUUGUUGUAGUCAUCCAAUGCAUCCUCCUGUAACUGUCUCUCAAAGGUACAAGCACGAACAUACAUACCAGAUACUGAAAUCGUGCCUGAAUAUCAUGGUUCAAACCACCAAAAAAUCUAUUCAUUGUAUCAUCCUCAGAUUCUUCUAUGUCACAAUGAUGCAUAUAAGAUUUGAACUCUUGGUAGUAAGCAUGAACAGUGUCGUUGCCUUGUUUAAAUUGUUCAAAUUUGCAAAGCAAUUCACGACGAUAGUAAGGAGGGAAAAAUUAUUGUCUCAUUACCUCUUUCAAAUCUUUCCAAGUUGUGAGUUGGUUAUCAAUGUUUUUCUUACAAUGCACACUCCACCAAACAGAAGCAAAACCAGUAAAUGCUCUAGUGGCAGCUCGUACUCGCUCAAGUUCAGAAAAGUCAUGGUGACUAAAAACUUGUUCUACUUCAACCUCCCAAGCUAGAUAAAUAGCAGGAUUAAAUCUACCCUCAAAUGACGGUAAAGAGAUAACCUGACCAUGUACUUGUGUGUGUUGUCCCAACUCUUGUGAUGGUGAUGAUGUGUCCGUCGUCCAAGAACUUCUAUCUCCGGAACCUGUCAUGAUUAGUAGAAACAAGAAACAAAAUUCGAGAAUAAUGUUCUGAUGAACUACUAGGAUGUGGUUGCAAAGUGCUCACAGUAAAGAAAAUAUCAAUAUCUUGCUCGUUCUUCGAUUGCUUGCAGGAAUAUACCUUCGUGGUCAGGUUGAUCGUGCUCCGGCGAGGUCAAUAACCUCUCGAAGUUGGUUUAGCGAUUGCUAAGGUGCAACGUCGUGCACGUUUGUAGUCGGAUCGUCAAAGUCGACUCCACCAAAUCGAUAGUUAUCAUCUAAUCGAAAGAUCAGGGCACCCUCGCCUCUAUCAAGUGGUAUCAGUUUUCAGGUUGCUCGGUGAGAAUUUCCAGUUUCCCCUAGAUUAGAUUUAUUUUCUUAUCUAUUGUCCAAGAAAAAGCCACAAAAAAGUUAGAUCUAUUCAUCCUUUUGUCCAAGCCAGUCUGAGCCUUUGCAAUUUUCUUUUCAUUGUUUGCAUUAUUGAAUUAUCGGUUGCAUCGUCGUGUCGAAUUGCUGGUCUUAGGGUCUAGUUCGUUUAGAGUUUCGAGUUCUGUUCACAUUAGUCACGUCGCCGCUGCAUCGUUAUCCCUUCCGCUGUCCACCACACCAUCCAUCAAUUUCCACCACGUGCUACCCAUAGUUCAUUGUCACAAUCAUAGUUGAUGUCGUUCACAUCUUCGCUUGAUCCAAUCUGCAUCUUAUCUAGUUUGUCUUAGAGGGAGAGAAAAAAAGACAGAGAAAAAAAGAGAGAAAAAAAGAAAAAGAAGUCGGAGAAAAAAAAGAGAGAAAGAAAAAGAAAAAAAAAGUGUGAGGAAAAAAAGAGAGAAAAAACAACAAAAUUGUGUGAAGUAUCCAAUAUGCAUGCAUGCAAUAUUUUUGGUAGUAUCCAAGGUAGUCAUGACCUCAUCAACAGGACAAGACACAUUUAAUGCGUAGCUUAGGUGUCCCCUUGCUUUAUUGGGGACGGGGGCGAGGCUCGUCCCGUCCGUCGCCGCUCCUCCAUGCUUUGACACGUGCCCUGGCCAGUGAGGCACAUGGUGCCAUGUAGGCAGGCAGGCAGCUGAGGUGGCGCAGUGCCGGAGCCUUCACGAAGAUCUGCAUGCCGCCACGCAGGCGCUCGAUGAGUUGGCCUGGGAGCUGCAUGUUGUCACGCAGGUGCCCGCCCAGCUGGUUGGGCUGGCAGCUGCAUGUGAACGGCGGUGGAAGCUUGGUUGGCGUGGGCCUGGCGGUGGCCCUGCUGGCGUCCGUGGUGAGGGCCUUGCCGUGUGGCCCGGCAAGGGUCUUGCCGUGGCGCGCUAUCGUCCCCAGCGAGGGCCUUGCCGAGGGUCUGGUGGCCUUCCUCGGCAAGGAUCUUGCCGAGGAUCGUCGUCUUCUAAUUCUCAUCUGAUCUUGAAUAUGUCUUCACAAAGAUCUGCAUGCCACUACGGAGGUGCCUCCCGAGCCCUGGCCCAACGUGAUGUUGGAGAUCGUGGGCUCAAGGGUGGCCCGCUCUGUUGGUGCAGGGCGAGCUGUUCCGGCAAGGAUCUUGUCGGGGCUGCUGAGGCUGCCCCGGCAAGGGUCUUGCCGGGGGAACCUGCUUCAUCCCUCUGCUCUUUGUGGUCUUGGCCUUGACGUUGCUCUUAUUAUCUUGGGCUUUGGUCUUACCUUGGCUCACCUCCCCUGUUCUGCUUGGCGUGACCGUAGGCGCGGCUCCGACUGCCCGUGCACAGAUAUAGGGGUACAAAAACGCACCCCUUUUUUUGGACACCGACAGAAGCCCCCGGGCCUGGGCCACACAUAAGCGCGAUACGUUGUUGGGCCAGGCCCAAAACGUGCGCGGGCAGGCGGGGCGGUUUUUACCGCGGUAAAACUUUUCGCGCGUUGCGCUUCCAACGGCCCGCGCGGCGUGGAGGGGUGUGCGUGACGUGGGCGCCAUGCGUGGGACGGUUUCCACACGCAUGCGUCACAUCGCAGUAAAAAGGCGGCUCGCGCCUUCCCCGUAAAAAGAGGGAGGCGUGGAGGCGUGCUACCUCUUGAGCACUGCGUUGCUUUUCCCUUGAAGAGGAAAGGGUGAUGCAGCAAAGUAGCGUAAGUAUUUCCCUCAGUUUUUGAGAACUAAGGUAUCAAUACAGUAGGAGGCUACGCGCGAGUCCCUCGCACCUGCACAAUACAAAUAAAUCCUCGCAACCAACGCGACAAGGGGUUGUCAAUCCCUUCACGGUCACUUACGAGAGUGAGAUCUGAUAGAUAUGAUAGGGUAAUAUUUUUGGUAUUUUUAUGAUAAAGAUGCAAAGUAAAAUAAAAGCAAAGGCAAUAACAAAGUGUUGGAAGAUUAAUAUGAUGAAGAUAGACCCGGGGGUCAUAGGUUUCACUAGUGGCUUCUUUCAAAAGCAUAAGUAUUUUACGGUGGGUGAACGAAUUACUGUUGAGCAAUUGACAGAAUUGAGCAUAGUUAUGAGAAUAUCUAAGUAUGAUCAUGUAUAUAGGCAUCACGUCCGAGACAAGUAGACCGACUCCUGCCUGCAUCUACUACUAUUACUCCACUCAUCGACCGCUAUCCAGCAUGCAUCUAGAGUAUUAAGUUCAUAAGAACAGAGUAACGCCUUAAGCAAGAUGACAUGAUGUAGAGGGAUAAAUUCAUGCAAUAUGAUAAAAACCCCAUCUUGUUAUCCUCGAUGGCAACAAUACAAUACGUGCCUUGCUGCCCCUACUGUCACUGGGAAAGGACACCGCAAGAUUGAACCCAAAGCUAAGCACUUCUCCCAUUGCAAGAAAGAUCAAUCUAGUAGGCCAAACCAAACUGAUAAUUCGAAGAGACUUGCAAAGAUAACCAAUCAUACAUAAAAGAAUUCAGAGAAGAUUCAAAUAUUGUUCAUAGAUAAUCUUGAUCAUAAACCCACAAUUCAUCGGUCUCAACAAACACACCACAAAAAGAAGAUUACAUCGAAUAGAUCUCCACGAGAGAGGGGGAGAACAUUGUAUUGAGAUCCAAAAAGAGAAAAGAAGCCAUCUAGCUACUAACUAUGGACCCAAAGGUCUGAGGUAAACUAUUCACACUUCAUCGGAGAGGCUAUGGUGUUGAUGUAGAAGCCCUCCGUGAUGGAUGCCCCCUCCGGCGGAGCUCCGGAACAGGCCCCAAGAUGGGAUCUCAUGGGUACAGAAGGUUGCGGUGGUGGAAUUAGGUUUUUGGCUCCGUAUCUGAUCGUUUGGGGUACGUAGGUAUAUAUAGGAGGAAGAAGUACGUCGGUGGAGCAACGUGGGGCCCACGAAGGUGGAGGGCGCGCCCUGGGGUGGGGGGGUGGGCGCGCCCCCUACCUCGUGGCCUCCUGGAAGCUUCUCUGACGUAAGGUCCAAGUCUCCUGGAUCAUGUUCGUUCCAAAAAUCACGCUCCCGAAGGUUUCAUUCCGUUUGGACUCCGUUUGAUAUUUUUUUCCCGCGAAACUAUGAAAUAGGCAAAAAAAAAUAGCAAUUCUGGGCUGGGCCUCCGGUUAAUAGGUUAGUCCCAAAAAUAAUAUAAAAAUGGAUGAUAAAGCCCAAUAUUGUCCAAAACAGUAGAUAAUAUAGCAUGGAGCAAUCAAAAAUUAUAGAUACGUUGGAGACGUAUCAAGGCGCGACUCAUUUAUUGAACGGGGCCAGGGCGCGGUCUUCAAGGCAUCCACUCCCCACGAUCACGGGGUGGGGAGAGGUUGCUUCGCCCGUCCCCUCGGUUCUGCAUGUAUGCCACGCGUCCUCCAUGCACCUAGGGUGGCAAGCGGUGGAGGCGGGAAACCGGGCCGUCGCUGGUUGGGGCAGCGGGUCGGUCCUGAUUCCCCGUGGCUUUGGUGGCUGGAUUGGCCGAGUGAGGCGGCCGAGCCCCGUCCCCGCCUCCUUAUAAAGAGGGGGAAGGGGGGAUGGCAUCCCACACUCUUCCGUCAUCUAUCUCCACUCGCUUCUACUUCUUCCUUUCACUCGCCAUGGAGAAAGGGAAUCAUGGUCCCUCAACGGUGGCGGCGAGGGUCGCCGCCCGACAGCACGUCCCUCCUCCUCCUGAGCCCGCGGUGGUGGAACCGGCCGCGUGGGGAAGGGGGAGGGGGCGAGGUCGUCGGCGAGGCCGGGGCAGAGGUCGUAGUGCUCGGGGAAGAGGAGGACGGGGCGGCGCACCGGCUUCACCCCCGCCAAUGAUGCCUUUUCCAAUGGAAGGCCAUGUUGGAGACCAGCCCCGUGAAUUUUUCAUCAGGCUGCGCUGGCCUUCGCGUCGCCGUCUUCGUCUUCCCGCCCCGUUCGCUCGGGAGAUGGAGUGUGACCCGCCCCAGUCCCUCAGAUUGCACAUGAGGGGUUGUGGGAAUGGGGGCACGCGGGUCGACGUCGACUUCCCGGCUCCCCGGGUCAUGUACCUCCGUCAUGGGUGGAAGACGUUCGCUCGCAUCCACAGCCUAACGGCGGGGCUCGUCCUCUACUUCAAAUUAAUGGAGGACGACCUGCUCUCCGUCAAGGUCUUCGGCGACUUCGGGACUCGCCUGAAGUGCUGCGUGGAGAGCUCCUCCGAUGGAGAUUCCGACGAUGGAAGCUCUACCUCGAGCGAAAGUGAUGAGGAGGACAACGGGGCAGACGGCGGGGACGAGUCCGACUAGGCGUCGGACGCCUGGUGCCUGGGCGGGUGCGGCAGCAGCAACAUCUGCACUUGGCCGCUCCUCCGGCAGAGUUUUGCCGGGGGUGGGGCCAGCUCCUUGAACUUCUCGGGGCCGUCUCCUUGGGCGGCUGGCGUCGAGAGGCUGCGGAAGAGGAAGAGGGCGGGCGGCAACGCCGUUAACUCGGAGUACGCGGGCACCGACGCCUUCGUGGCGUACUGCCGGUCCUGCCGCCUCGUCUUCCAGCUCCUUUCCCGGCACCGUCAUCACCGGCCCGCCCCUGGGCGGUCACCAAGGUGUUCUCUUGGUGCUUUCUGCCGCUCGUAGCUCGCCUAGGCGCCCCUUUUGCCCUUUCGCCUCAUUGACCUGCCUCCUGAGGAGAGGGACAAGAAAGGGAUUACGGGCAUCUUAUCCUUCUUCUUUAGUUUGUAAGCCUGCGGGCCUUUGUUAAAUUUAGAACUUGUAAUCCCCUUGCUCAUGUUUUUCAUUUCGUACGAACUGUACCUGUAUGGGAUGUUUUUAAUGAAAAAGGGAUGCUUGCCGGGUUUUUCGUUCGUGGGUAAACCCCGCGACAAGGAGCGAAUCCUUGUUAUUGUUUAAGAUAAACGUUUUUCGCCCGGCAACAGGCCUUGCCGCCCCCCACUCCACUCGACCGUUCUCGCGCUCUUGGCGGAGGCAGGGAUGAAGUGGGCUUUAGGCUCCUCGUUCUACCUCCUUGCCGCCGCGGCUACAACCAAAUCCGGACCUAGGAAAUAAUCCUUAGGUAUAGGAAAAAGGGGAGCACGACAGCCUAGAGAUAAAAACGAGGUUUCACAUGCCCCAGUCCUGUUCUGAAAUGCAUGACAGAGGAUAAAAGACUUAUCUGGAUCUGCAGCCCCCAGCAAUCUCAUCUUGCCGCGGUUGGAACCUUGUGCUUGCAGCCCCCGGCAACUCUGGUUUACCGGGGUCGGGACGCCGGUCCGUUUUCUUUCUUCCAAGUAGCUCGACAGAAGUGCUCAUGUGCCCUGCGAACCAAAGGAGGACGGAAGAGAAACAGAUAGACGCGCAUUCGACCUCUAAGCUAGGGGUUAGUCGCUGCUGAGCACUAUCAACCCUAACCAAGGAAGAGACUCGACCUAGCAUGCAUGCUAUGACUGAGGGCGCCAGCGCUUCAUUUAUUUAUGCUCAGGGUCUGUGCCUGGCUUUGUACGAAGGGUUACAUGCCUUGCCGGCAAAGCUUGUACAAAAGGUGGCUUGCCGGGAGGCCCAGCAAGCCGCGCCUUAUGGGUAAAACUUGCGAAGAUGCUCGAUGUUCCAGGAGUUCCUCACUGGGAUGGCAUCUUCGGUCUCCAGGUGGACUGCGCCGGGCCUGGUGACUCGUAUUACCCGAUAAGGGCCUUCCCACUUCGGCGUCAACUUGUUGGCAUUCUCGGCCGACUGAACGCGCCGAAAAACAAGGUCGCCUUCCUCAAAGCUUCGGGCAUGAACCUUGCGGCUAUGGUAGCAGCGCAAGGCUUGCUGGUAGCGCGCUGCUCUCACAGCCGCCCGAAGACGAUCUUCCUCAAGGAGCGUCGCAUCAUCUUGGCGCAACUGCUCUUGCUCAAGCUCAUCAUAAGCGAGCACUCGAGGUGACCCGUAUAUGAGUUCCGUGGGGAGAACUACUUCUGCCCCGUAGACCAGGGCAAAAGUUGUCUGGCUGGUGGCUCGAUUUGGCGUCGUCCUGAUCGACCAAAUAACCGCCGGCAAUUCAUCAAUCCAGCGCCUUCCGCUCUUGCGCAGCUUGUCAAAAGUCUUUGUCCUUAGGCCUCGCAACACUUCAGCAUUCGCCCUCUCCGCUUGGCCGUUGCUCCGUGGGUGUGCCACGGAAGCAAAACAGACCUUGCUGCCGAGGUCUUGAAUGUAUUGCAUGAAGGUGUGGCUCGUGAACUGCGUGCCGUUGUCGGUGAUGACUCUAUUUGGCACACCAAAACGGCAGACCAGUCCUUUAAAAACUUGACAGCUGACUGAGCAGUCACCUUUCUCACUGCUUCCACCUCCGGCCACUUUGUGAACUUGUCGAUUGUAACGUACAAGUAUUCAAAGCCCCCGACAGCGCGGGGGAAAGGGCCCAGUAUGUCGAGCCCCCAGACCGAGAAUGGCCAGGAGAGAGGGAUUGUUUGAAGGGCUUGGGCUGGUUGAUGAAGCUUCUUUGAAUGAAACUGACACGCUUCUGUAACGCCCCGGAUCCGAUGCGCCAGGUGUCACACAGUUAUUCGCUGUCGUUGCCAUGUCAUUUGCUUGCGUGUUGCAUUUUGCCAUGUCAUCAUAUGCAUUUCAUAUCAUGUCAUCAUGUGCUUCGCAUUUGCAUACGUGUUCGUCUCAUGCAUCCGAGCAUUUUCCCCGUUGUCCGUUUUGCAAUCCGGCACUCCUAUGUCACCCGGCGCCCCCUUUUGUCUUCUUCUCGUGUGCGGAUGUUAAACAUUUUCGGAAUGGACCGAGUCUUUUCAAGUGGCCUUGGUAUACCACCGGUAGACCACCGGUCAAGUUUCGUUCCAUUUGGAGGUCGUUUGGUACUCCAACGGUUAACCGGGUAACCGCAAAGUCCGUUUUGGUAUUGCAGCAAACCCCCCUUUCAAACAGCCACAAAACCCCUCUAAGUCCCUGUCAUGCUCUCGGUCGUUCGAUCACGAUCGCGUGGGCGAAAACCGCACCCCGUUUGGACUCUCCUAACUCCCUCUACCUAUAUAAACACCCCCUCCCCGAAAUUUCGGAUCAAUUCCACCCUAACCCUAAUAUUUUUCCCUCCGCGCCGCCGGACGUUUCGUCCUCCGCAGCCGGACAUGUCCAUUUCGCCGCCGCCGCCGCCCGCGGCCAAUCGGCACGCGCCACCUGUCCNNNNNNNNNNNNNNNNNNNNNNNNNNNNNNNNNNNNNNNNNNNNNNNNNNNNNNNNNNNNNNNNNNNNNNNNNNNNNNNNNNNNNNNNNNNNNNNNNNNNNNNNNNNNNNNNNNNNNNNNNNNNNNNNNNNNNNNNNNNNNNNNNNNNNNNNNNNNNNNNNNNNNNNNNNNNNNNNNNNNNNNNNNNNNNNNNNNNNNNNNNNNNNNNNNNNNNNNNNNNNNNNNNNNNNNNNNNNNNNNNNNNNNNNNNNNNNNNNNNNNNNNNNNNNNNNNNNNNNNNNNNNNNNNNNNNNNNNNNNNNNNNNNNNNNNNNNNNNNNNNNNNNNNNNNNNNNNNNNNNNNNNNNNNNNNNNNNNNNNNNNNNNNNNNNNNNNNNNNNNNNNNNNNNNNNNNNNNNNNNNNNNNNNNNNNNNNNNNNNNNNNNNNNNNNNNNNNNNNNNNNNNNNNNNNNNNNNNNNNNNNNNNNNNNNNNNNNNNNNNNNNNNNNNNNNNNNNNNNNNNNNNNNNNNNNNNNNNNNNNNNNNCGACCCCGCCGCCGGCGCCCGCGCUGCCGCCGGCCAUCGCCCCGCCGUCGCCUGGCCUGGCCUCCCCUCCACUCCGGCCGCCGCCGAUCGACUCCGGCGAGCCGGCGCCCGAUCCAGAACGAGCCCGCGUUGACUUCGUUCCCCCCCUCGAGGUCGUUAUUUUUCUAAGUCCCCAGUUCUUAUUAAUAUGUGCACAUGUUCAACUGUGUGUAACUUCAUGCAUGUAGCUCCGAUUCGCGCGUAUAAUAUGUCGAAUUGUUCGUCCCGUGAUGCUCUACAUUUUGUUCAAUUGCACCAUGUUCAUUAGAGGUCAUCUUGAUGCCUUAAUCAUCGUUGCAAGAGGGCUAGUUGCUGUUAUCUGCUGAUUCUUAUCAGAACUUGGAGAUUUGUCAUUUUUGUAUCAUUUAAUCUGUGCAUCUUUUGGGCAUGACCUCUACAUGUGUUUUGAAGUAUGCCAUGCCAUCUUUCCAGUGGUGUAGUCCAUGUAUUUGUGUGAUCUCUGUGGUGACUAGCACAAGCACGCAAAGUAGGCCCCGUAAUAUUUCUGAUUUCAGGGACUUAGUGAUUUCUCUAAGUCCUUGUCUGCUGUAAUUUUGUUGCCUUGUUAACUUGAUGCUACAGAGAGAUCCAUGCAUAUUUUGGAGAUGUUCAGUAAGGAUGUUUUGUAGAUAUUGUUAUAAUUGAUCCAUUACUGCCCUUGUUUGCAAUUAUGGUGUGCCAUAGCAUGUCUCAAUCUUGCUCUACUUUUGCUAUAAAAUAUUUCUGGCAGAUUCUUAACAUGAUAUGCAAUCUUGCCAAGCUUAUUGUAAUUGAUCCAUACAUGCUAUGAUUAUACUCUUGCCAUGGUUAGCUUCAUAAACAUGCCAUCUUGCUGUAGAUAUACUUAGGUUAUCAUUCAUUGCUCUGUAGUGAGUGCAUCAAGCUCACAAAGAGGCCUACAUAUUAUAGUUUCUGCCAUGCUCUGUUUUUUGCCAAGUCUGAAACCAGAUAACGAAACUUGCUAUGUUCACAUGCUUGCCAUCAUAUCUUCUGGUCCUUUUUCGCUUAUGGUCAGUAAGGGACUUUUGUUAUAUGCUUUGAGUAGAUUCAUGCCAUGCCUUUCUUUGCUAUGUUAAGUCCCUGUAGCAUGUUGAUUUCGUGCUCUGAACAUUGCUACCUGAUGCUGUUUCUGUCAUGUCCAGUAAUUCUGCCAAGUCUGUGAACCUGUUAUUAUUUGCAAUCUUGCCAUGUCCUUUUGAGCAUUUUCUAUUGAUUUCUGGAGAUAGCUCAGUGUUCAUGUUUUGUUGUGCUUUACCUGUACAUCAUGUCCUUGUCUUUUGUUUUCAUGUUGAGUUGCUGUAGCAUAUUGUUUUGAUGCUUGCCAUAUGCCUAGUUGCUGUUUUGGACAGAUUGUUGCUAUGUCUUGUUUGGAGUGUAUGUGUUGCACCGUUGCUCCGUUUUGAGCAUGCUCUAUAUGAAACUUGCUUAGUUUUGCAUGUAGUCUCAUAUUAUCAUGUUGCAUCCUUGUGUUGAGGUGUGUGCUUGAUGUUUGUAUGCAUUUUGCACCAAUGCCAUGCUCAUCUUGUCUUGCUCAUAUCUUCUAGGCCGUAGCUCCGAAUCUAAUGAACUUUAUAUGUAACUUGACUAGAAUUUCGUGUAGAUCAUCAUGGUGCUCUUUAACUUGCUGUUUAACAACUUUAACUUAAUGCUUGUUCAGUUCUGGACCAAUUUUGAAAUUUGCAUAUGAGGACUUACCGGAAUUGUUAUGUGUUGUUUCCGGCCUCAUUUAAACUUGCCUUGAUGUGUUGCUCUUGUAUGCAUCCUUUCUUGCCGUGUGUAGCCUCAUAUUGCCUUGUCAUGCAUCAUUCUUGAUUGAGCAUCAUGCCUUGUUCAUGUGUGGUGUGUUUACCUUGUUGUGUGUUUCUUCUCGAUAGCUCCUGUGUCGUUGCGAUCGUGAGGAUUCGUUCGUCUUCGUGGCUUCAUCUUCUUCAUGGAUUCGUUCUUCUUCCUAGCGGGAUUUCAGGCAAGAUGACCGUCACCUUGGAUCUCAUUACUAUCAUUGCUAUGCUAGUUGCUUCGCUCUAUCGCUUUGUUGCGCUACCUAUUCACUUGUUCCUCAAGCCUCCCAUUUUGCCAUGAACCUCUAACCUUUGUCACCCUUCCUAGCAAACCAUUGUUUGGCUAUGUUACCGCUUUGCUCAGCCCCUCUUAUAGCGUUGCUAGCUGCAGGUGAAGAUGAAGAUUGCUCCAUGUUGGAUUAUGUUUAUGUUGGGAUAUCACAAUAUCUCUUAUAUUAUUAAUGCAUCUAUAUAUUUGGUAAAGGGUGGAAGGCUCGGCCUUAUGCCUGGUGUUUUGUUCCACUCUUGCUGCCCUAGUUUCCGUCAUACCGGUGUUAUGUUCCCGGAUUUUGCGUUCCUUACACGGUUGGGUGAUUUAUGGGACCCCCUUGACAGUUCGCCUUGAAUAAAACUCUUCCAGCAAGGCCCAACCUUGGUUUUACCAUUUGUCCAGCCUAUUUCUUUUCCCUAGGGAGUCGCUCUCUCGAGGGUCAUCUUAUUUUAACCCCCCCGGGCCAGUGCUUCUCUAAGUGUUGGUCGAACUGAGUAGACUGCGGGGCCACCUCGUGGAAACUCGAGGUCUGGUUUUACUCGUAGGAUGUCUCAUCCGAUGUUGCCCUGAGAACGAGAUAUGUGCAGCUCCUAUCGGGAUGUCGGCGCAUCGGGCGGCUUUGCUGGUUUUGUUUUACCAUUGUUGAAAUGUCUUGUAACCGGGAUUCCGAGACUGAUCGGGUCUUCCCGGGAGAAGGAAUAUCCUUCGUUGACCGUGAGAGCUUAUCAUGGGCUAAGUUGGGACACCCCUGCAGGGUAUUAUCUUUCGAAAGCCGUGCCCGCGGUUAUGUGGCAGAUGGGAAUUUGAUAAUAUCCGGUUGUAGAGAACCUGACACUUGACCUUAAUUAAAACGCAUCAACCGCGUGUGUAGCCGUGAUGGUCUCUUCUCGGCGGAGUCCGGGAAGUGAACACGGUUUCUGGGUUAUGUUUGACGUAAGUAGGAGUUCAGGAUCACCUCUUGAUCAUUGCUAGUUUCACGACCGUUCCUUUGCUUUCUCUUCUCGCUCUUAUUUGCGUAAGAUAGCCACCAUACAUUGCUUAGUCGCUGCUGCAACCUCACCACCUUAUCCUUUCCUUUCCCUUUAAGCUUUGCUAGUCUUGAUACCCAUAAUAAUGGGAUUGCUGAGUCCUCGUGGCUCACAGUUUACUACACCACCAGUUGCAGGUACAGGUUGUGCGAUGAUCAUGACGCGAGAGCGAUGUGUACUUGUUUUGGAGUUCUUCUUCUGCUUCUUCUUCGCUCAGGGGAUAGGUUCCAGGUCGGCAGCCUGGGCUAGCAGGGUGGAUGUCGUUUGAGUCUCUGUUUAUGUUUCAUCCGUAGUCGGAUGUUGAGCUUAUGUAUGAUGUAUUGAUGUAUCCUUGCGGCAUUUGUAUGCCUUGUAUGUAUCCCCAUAUAUUUUGUAAUGUCGAUGUAAUGAUAUCCACCUUGCAAAAGCGUUUCAAUAUGCGGGUCUAUCCUUGGUGGGACCUUCGAGUUCCUGUAGGAUAGGGUCGCAUAUUGGGCGUGACAGCUUCACACUUGGUUACUAGUGCCGUCGCAUCCUGGAGGGCGGUGGGCCAGAAAAAACCUUGUCGGAACGCCUUCCCGGCAAGGGCCCUUGACCCUAUGUGGGAGCCACAUAUGCCUCCAUGUAUCUCCGCCAACAGCUCCAGUCCUUCUAACUGGGGGAUGCACUUCAAUUUCAUGCCAUUCGGCCUUCUCCUGUACAGGACAUCAUCGACGAACUGGUACAGGGCGGACCGACGGGCUACUUUCUCCGCUUCUUCCUGCUCCUCAGGAAGCUCCCCUGUUUGGAGGAAUCGAACGGUAUGCUGCGCCCAUGCCGGAGCCCGGGCUCGACGACAAGGACCAAAGGCAUUUCUUCCGCCAUGGGAGCGGCUGUCUCUACGGCUAGGGCUUGACGCCCUGCCGGAGGUAGCUACUCUUGGGCAGGCUCGGCGUCCGUGGCGGCACCCUUGCCGGCAGCCCCAGAGGGUUCGGUAGGAAAGUACUUGCCGGGACCCGACUUCCUUCGCUUGUUCUGCCCCGUUGAUGGUUUGACGGAUGGUUGAGUUAGCUGGAGCAAAAAGGUACCUGGUUCCACAGGUAGCUUGAAUGCGGCACACUUUGACAGGUAAUCGGCGGUGUCGUUCUCCAUUCGGGGGACGUGCUCCGCUAGGAUACCGUCAAAGCGCUCCUCCAGCUUCCUCACUUCAUCUACGUAGGCUUCCAUCAAUGGGCUUUGGUAAUCCUUAUUGACCUGCCUGACAACAAGCUGCGAGUCACCCCUGACGAUGAGCUUCUUAACCCCGAGGUCUGCCGCGAUCCUGAGACCGGCAAGCAAUCCCUCGUACUCAGCAGUGUUGUUGGUGGACAUCUCUCGGGGAAAGUGCAUCUGGAUCACGUACUUGAGGUGCUCCCCGGUAGGUGCGACGAGUAGCACACCGGCAUCGGCGCCUUGCAGCGAGAAAGCCCCAUCAAAGUACAUGAUCCAGUCGCGAUCUUCCUCCUUGCCGGGGAGUGUGGUCUCCUGGAUUUCUUCGUCAGGUGUUGAGGUCCAUUCUGCAAUGAACUCCGCCAAGACUCUGCUCUGAAUUGUCGAGGUACUUUCAAACUUCAAACCGAAACUUGACAACUCUAAGGCCCACUCCACAAUCCUCCCGGUUGCAUCCGGGUUAUGCAGUAUCCGUUGCAAAGGGAGGCGGGUGACGACAGUGAUCUCGUGGGCUUGGAAGUAAUGACGCAGCUUCCUCGAGGCCAUAAGAAGGCCGAAGAGCAAUUUCUGCACACCGGAGUACCUCGAUCUAGCCCCCUGCAAGAGGGAGCUGACAAAGUAAACCGGGUGCUGCAUCAUCUUCUUCUUCUGCACCACCCCACUUGACUGCGCGGGCACUGCCUCGGUGGCAUCAGACUCUGCCGGGGGCCUCGCCUUGCCGGCACCAGGCCCUGCCGGGGGAAUCUUGGGCUUGCCAUCCGCUGGUUCUGCCGCCGUCACUGCCUCCUCGUUGACCUCCCUCUGUGCCACUAGCGCGGUGCUGACCACUUGAUUUGUCGCCGCCAGAUACAGCAGCAACGGCUCUUGUGGUUUAGGCGCAACCAGUAUUGGCGUGGAGGAAAGGUAUUUCUUCAGAUCCUGCAAUGCUUCCUCGGCUUCUGGGGUCCAUUCCAUUGGGCCUGCCUUCUUCAAGAUUUUGAAGAAAGGAAGGGCGCGCUCGGCGGACUUGGAGAUGAAUCGGCUCAUGGCGGCAACGUAGCCGGUGAGCCGACGCACAUCCUUGAUCCGCUUGGGCGCCUCAAUCUGCUCAAUAGCCUUGAUUUUGUCUGGGUUUGCCUCGAUUCCGCGCUGCGAUACAAAGAACCCGAGAAGCUUGCCGGAUGGAACGCUGAAGACACACUUCUCAGGGUUCAGCUUGAGGUUGAUCUUGCGCAGGUUGGCAAAUGUCUCUUCCAGAUCUUCCACAAGAGUUGGCCCGUCCUUGGUUUUGACUACUAUGUCAUCCAUGUAGGCCUCCAUAUUUCUAUGGAGCUGAGGUUCAAAACCAAUUUGGACUGCUCUUGCAAAUGUUGAGCCAGCGCUCUUCAACCGAAAGGCAUCCGUAAAAAGCAAUACGUACCACAUGGGGUGAUGAACGCUGUCUUUUCUUCAUCCUCUCUUGUCAUGAAGAUAUGGUGGUAGCCCGAGUAGGCGUCGAGGAAUGACAACAGAUCACACCCGGCCGUGGAGUCAACAAUCUGGUCGAUGCGCGGCAACGGGAAGGGGUCCUUAGGACAAGCCUUAUUGAUAUCUGUGUAAUCAAUACACAACCUCCACUUCCCAUUCGCCUUGCGCACCACUACCGGAUUGGCCAACCACAUCGGGUGGAGCACUCCCCUCACCAAACCUGCCGCUUCCAACUUCCUGAUCUCCUCCGUGAUGAACUCCUGCCUCUCCAGAGCCUGCUUUCUGACCUUCUGCUGGAUGGGCCGCGCAUGGGGGCUGACAACUAGGUGGUGCUCAAUCACCUCCCUGGGAACAACGGGGAUGUCGGAUGCUUUCCAUGCAAACACGUCGACAUUCGACCGCAGGAAGGUGACGAGCGCGCCUUCCUAUUUGCUACCGAGGGUGGAGCCUAUGGUGAAGGCCCCUCCCGUGCCAUCCUCCCUGGUGGACACCUUCUUGGUUUGCGGCGGCUCGGCUCUAGAUCUCUUGCUCUUGUCGGUAGAGCUCUCUGGCACGGCCUCGACGGCAGCACAACACUCCGAAGAGGUGCGCUUGCCGGAGUGGGUGCGAGAGGUCUUGCCGGGCUUCUUCCUCCCUCCCGGGGCUUCAGCGGCAGGAGCAGGUGCCUUGGCGGCAGCUGCUGCAACUGCCUCCCGGUAGAGUUGGUCGGCGCAAAUCAGCGCGUCCUUCUUGUCGGAGGGGACGGAGAUGAUGGUCAACGGCCCGAGCAUCUUUAGCAUGUUGUAGGCGUAGUGUGACGCCGCCAUAAACUUGGCUAGUGCCGGGCGGCCGAGGAUCCCGCUGUAGGGCAAGGGGAUCUCGGCCACGUCGAAGACGAUCCUCUCCGUCCUGUAGUUCAACUCUCCUCCAAAUGUCACGGGCAGUGUGACCUUUCCCUUCGGCUGGCUCCUCCCCGGAUUGACCCCUUGAAACGUGCCCGUUUCCUCGAGGUCUCCAUCAGGGAUUUGCAACCUUUUGAUCACGACAGGCGAGAUCAGGUUUAGGCCGGCCCCGCCGUCAACCAACAUCUUGUUCACCCUGAAGUUGCGUAUUGUUGGUGAGACCAACAAUGGCAAACACCCGACCGCGGUAGUGCGGUCAGGGUGGUCUUCGGCGUCAAAGAUGAGGGGCGUGCUGGACCACUUCAGCGGCUUCUGAGCGUCGAACGACGGCUCUUCUGCUGUAAUCUCACGCGCCCACUGCUUGAGCUAGCGGUGAGAGGUAUGCAGCGAGGCGCCGCCAUCGACGCACAUGGCCUCCGUAGCCUUCUGGAACCCUUGCUCACCAGACUCGUCGUCCUUGUCGUGAUCAUCGUCUUCUUGUUUCUUGUCGCGGCCCCGGGCGGGCCUCUCUUGCUGGUUGUCCUUGCCGGGGUAGCCUCCUUGGCCGCCACGCUUCUUGCCGGAUCCCUCAGCACCGUCCUGGUCCUUCUCCUUGUCCCGCCUCUCGUACUCAGCCUUUUGCUUCUUAGGAAGCAGCUCGACUUGUCGGCAGUUCUGGAGGUCGUGGCCCUUGGUGCGGUGGAUCUUGCAGUAUUGCUUGCCGGAGCUCCCUGGCUUGUCGGUAGCUGCCAAGGCCCGGCAGGCGGCGCACCAGGCAAUCUCCUUGUCGGGAGCGCCUGCCUUGACCUUCUUGCCGGCACCGGUGUCGCCAGAUCCCUCAACGGCAAGCACGGCCUUACCCUUGCGUUUCCUGUUGUGACGCCGGCCCUUCUUCGUCGGGGUAGCGGCGUCCUCAUCGGUAGAGUCGGUUUCCGCGCCGGCGUCUUCGCCGGGGUACUUCCUUCCCUCUUCAGCCCGGGCGCAUCUAUCGGCCAGAACGUAGAGCUCGGCCACAUCCUUAAUCUUGGUCAUCGCCAGCUCCUCGCGCAUCUUGCGAUUGCGCACGUUCUGGUGGAAUGCGCUAAUCACAGCGGCAGGAUGAACGUCGGGGAUGUUGUACUGCACCCGGCUGAAUCUCUGGAUGUACUUGCGCAGGGUCUCCCCUUCCUUCUGGGGAAUGAUAUGCAGAUCACUGGCCUGGCCAUGAGCUUGGUGGCCUCCUGUGAAGGCGCCAACGAACUCAUGGCAUAGAUCCGACCAAGAAGAAAUGGAAUCCACCGGCAAGUGCAUCAACCAAGACAUCACAUUGGGCUUGAGCGCCAGCGGGAAAUAGUUGGCAAGCACCUUGUCGUUGCGAGCCCCAGCCUGCAUCGCGAUGGUGUAGAUGCUGAGGAACUCAGACGGAUGGGUCUUGCCAGUGUACUUCUCGCCGACGUCGGGCUUGAACGUGCGGUGGGACGACCACUGGAACUGCUGCAGCUCACGGGUAAAGGCCGGGCAGCCCACCUCGUAAGGUAGGCCGCCGGAGCCCCCCGGUGCCGGGUGGUCCAUAGCGGGUCCCGCCCGCUUGUCCGACUGGCGGCGCGUUUCGCGCCGGCGCUCGACGGUGGUUCGAGCGUCUUUGUGAGCUCGUUCCCGAAGGACCUGGCGCUGGUCGCGGAGGGUCCGCGGGUCGGAUGACACUAUGGAGAUGUUAUCACAAGCGUCGUCACGACGGGCUGAUGCCCGCGGCGGCUGGCGAGGAGGAGGAGAGUGCACCGUGGGCGCAACUCCCCCGGUCCUCCCAGCGCCAGCAUGCGGUGGCUCGGUGGAGCGCCGACCCGAGGGUCCCGCCGGUCGUGGAUUGUCUUUAUUGGCGACGGCGAUGAGGCUUCGGGUGGUGGCCCUCCACUCGUCAAGCUUCUCCGCAGCAGGAGGGAAGUCGAGGAGUAGCUGUGCGCGCGCCAAAGCUUCUGCCGGCGUGGGCGGCGGCGACAGCUACGUGGAUCGCGGCGCGCUUCGACUUCUAACUACGUUAGAAGGAGCUCCGUUACAACCCAGCGGCUACGUGCCAUUUUCGCCAGCGCUUCGGCGGGCGUGCUGAACCCCUUCAUCCUGCGGACGACGCACUGGGCUCUUCCCACGGUGGUGCCCAGGGUCACCAACGCGGUGACGCUGCUCGACACGCACACCAUGGAAGAGCGCACAGUGGUCGCCGGUGUGGGCGUCCUGGAGGUCGCUGCGCCGCCCGGAGGUGGCACAACGACACCCCUGGAGGGCCCGCGCCGCCUACGGGGGGCCCAGCUCCGUCUUUGGAUCCGGCGACGUGUAGCCGGUCGUCUGGUGCGCGAACGACGUCGCUCGCCAGGCUCUGACUACCAGGGCGUUGCUGGUGCUCGCGGACCGCGACCCGGGUCCUGUCUGUGACCGGUCCACUGCCCGCCCGCACCGGCACGGGCCGUUCGGCUCCCAACGAGCCGACCGCCGUGGCUGUCUUCUUCUUAGGAGCCAUGGCGACGAAGAACUACUAGGCUAACUACUAGACCAGAUUCUCACAAUUGCGCCCCCUACCUGGCGCGCCAAAGAUGUCGGUGUGGAACGACACCUACGGGAUCACAAGAAUCCCUACUACGGUUGCCGGGGUGCGGGGUUGCAAGAAGAGCAGGGCUAGUAGACAACACAAAGAUCGUUUACCCAGGUUCGGGCCGCGAGGAUGGGUAAAACCCUAGUCCUGCUUUGGUGGGUGUAUUUUCAGAGAGUUCUUGAGCUCUCGAACAAGCUGUGGUCAGUGCGUGGUUCAAAAGAGCCGAAUCCUUCUCCAGUAUGCCAUGGGCCUCCUUUUAUAGUCGAAAGGGGUUGCCACAGUGGCACACAGGAGGUGGAAAGGCGUACAGUGCCCUGAGCUUAUCGCUCGUAUUACAGGACAAGAUGCAUUUAAUGCGUAGCUUAGGUGUCCCCUUGCUUUAUUGGGGAUGGGGGCGAGGCCCGUCCCGUCCGUCGCCGCUCCUCCUCGCUUUGACACGCGCCCUGGCCAGUGAGGCGCGUGGUGCCAUGUAAGCAGGCAGGCAGGCAGCAGAGGUGGCGCAGUGGCGGAGCCUUCACGAAGAUAUGCAUGCCGCCACGUAGGCGCUUGAUGAGUUGGCCUAGGAGCUGCAUGUUGCCACGCAGGUGCCCGCCCAGCUGGUUGGGCUGGCAGCUGCAUGUGAACAGCGGUGGAAGCUUGGUUGGCGUGGGCCUAGCGGUGGCCCUGCUGGCGUCCGUGGUGAGGGCCUUGCCGGGUGGCCCGGCAAGGGUCUUGCUGUGGCGCGCUGUCAUCCCCGGCGAGGGCCUUGCCGGGGGUCUGGUGACCUUCCUCGGCAGGGAUCUUGCCGAGGAUCGUCGUCUUCUAAUCCUCAUCUGAUUUUGAAUAUGUCUUCACAAAGAUCUGCAUGCCACCACGGAGGUGCCUCCCGAGCCCUGGCCCAACGUGAUGUUGGAGACCAUGGGCUCAAGGGUGGCCCGCUCUGUUGGUGCGAGGCGAGCUGUCCCGGCAAGGAUCUUGCCGGGGCUGCUGAGGCUGCCCCAGCAAGGGUCUUGCCGGGGAACAUGCUUCGUCCCUCUGCUUUUUGUGGUCUUGGCCUUGGCGUUGCUCUUAUUAUCUUGGACUUUGGUCUUACCUUGGCUCACCUCCCCUGUUCUGCUUGGCGUGACCGUAGGCGCGUCUCCGACUGCCCGUGCACAUGUAUAGGGGUACAAAAACGCACCCUUUUUUUUGUACACCGACAUAUAUCUAUCCAUUCUUGCUACGACUUGUUGAAUAUUCGAAUGAUAAUCAUAAAAGAGAAUGUUGACUAGUGAAUUGUUUAUUUUGCAGAAAAGUGCGCAAAGGCACUAUAAUCGUCAAGAUUUCUACUAUGUGGCUAACGAGAAGAGACAAGGGUAUGAAAGAAAUACGUCAAGGCCUGAGCGUGAAGGAAAGAAGUAAUGUAGGGGAGCAAACUAAAAGAAGAGGAGGAUCUUCUUGGGCAUAAAUGAAGAGAAGAGGAGGGCCAAUGUGCAAAUGUGGCAGAUCAGAGAGGGGAAUGAAAUCCCUAGCGGCACCUCAUUGCAAAUCGGGCCUGGCCACAUCUCCAUCUCUCUCCCCCUCACCACUUCUUCCACCACCGGCCGCCGCCGCGGCCAGGCCGGCGUGGCGGCGCGCCACCAACACCACCGCGCCAUAGCACCACCCAUAAUCUCCAUCCAUCUGCGCCUCCCGGCCACCCAUCAUUCCCUCCAUCCACAGCGCCGCCAGAACCCAUCCAUCAUCACCUCCAGCCGGCGCCGCCGCCUCGCCUACAGCCAUCUCCCUGCUGUCCGCUGCUCUCCUCUUCUUUCCAACCUUCUUCUCCUCACCAUGCUGCUGCUCCUCCCUCUCAAUCUCUACUGCUGCUCUUCCUUGCCCCCCCACCCCCCCGUGCUGCUGCCUCUCCUUCCCUUCGUUGCUUGCUGCUUCUCCUUUGAUCCCUUUGCUACUGCUCCUCUUCUUCGUGCCCAACCUCCGCUGCUGCUCCUCUUUCCUGCUGCUACUCCCUCUCACCACGCCUCUGCUGCUCUCUUUCCCCUCCUGCUGCUGCUCUCCUCACCAUGCUGCUUCUCCUCUUGCUGCUGCUGCCCGCCCCCGACCUCCUCCUGCUAUCUCUCUCUACUUCCCCUGCUACCUUUCUUCUCUGAACCUACCUACUGCUUCUCUCUCUCUCUGAAAUUGCUGUAGUACUAAGAUUUGUAAGACAGUGUACUACAACCUGUUAAUUGUUCAGUUCAGAUUUUUGCUUGUUUAGUAUUAUUCUGUUGAUCUGUGCUAAUCUUGUGGCUAGUAUAAUUUCGUUUCUGUUGUUACUUGUGUAACCUGAACCGUGGUUAGUAUCCUAUUUGCAUAUGUGUGUUUUGUAGUCCCUGUAUUAGUUACGUACCUGUGAUAUAUAAAUGUGUGUGUGCGUGUGUGUGUGUAAUUCAUCAAAAUAUAUUGUUGUGUGAUGAUGAUAUAUGUUCAGUCUAGAGACACGUUAUUUUUCUUGCUUUGUAGAUCGAUGUGAACUAGUACCCUUGUGUGUUUCUGUUGUCACUAGUUAAAUUGAUCACCUAUGUACUACUUGUUGUAGAAACUUGUUACAUUAGUCCUUGUGCUAGCUAUGCACCUGUGAUAAAUAUGUGUGUGAUGUGAAACAUUU
RNAcentral lists this long non-coding RNA (26372 nucleotides) under Triticum aestivum (bread wheat). Its description in RNAcentral is "long non-coding RNA (TAES_LNC013351)". Lineage: Eukaryota; Viridiplantae; Streptophyta; Magnoliopsida; Poales; Poaceae. The record is from RNAcentral.